Molecule: ribosomal RNA, 794 nt
Filed under: uncultured organism
Description: bacterial SSU rRNA
Rfam family: Bacterial small subunit ribosomal RNA
Source: RNAcentral
CGAUGGUCUCGAUAAUUCGGUUUAUCGAGUAAAGGCUCUGGCGCUUUGAGAGGGACCUGCGGCCCAUCAGCUAGUUGGUAGGGUAACGGCCUACCAAGGCGAAGACGGGUAGGGGGCGUGAGAGCGUGACCCCCCACACUGGCACUGGGACACGGGCCAGACUCCUACGGGAGGCAGCAGUGAGGAAUAUUGCGCAGUGAGCGAAAGCUAGACGCAGCAACGCCGCGUGGGUGAUGAAGGCCUUCGGGUCGUAAAACCCUUUUCUGGGGGAAGAGUAAGGACGGUACCCCAGGAAUAAGCCUCGGCUAACUAUGUGCCAGCAGCCGCGGUAAUACAUAGGAGGCAAGCGUUAUCCGGAUUUACUGGGCGUAAAGAGCGUUGAGGCGGCUUCGUAAGUUGGACGUGAAAGCUCCCGGCUUAACUGGGAGAGGCCGUUCAAUACUGCGGGGCUUGAGGGCAGCAGAGGGGGGUGGAAUUUCCGGUGUAGUGGUGAAAUGCGUAGAUAUCGGAAGGAACACCAGUGGCGAAGGCGGCCCCCUGGGCUGCUCCUGACGCUGAAGGCGAAAGCUAGGGGAGCGAACGGGAUUAGAAACCCCGGUAGUCCUAGCCGUAAACGAUGGAUACUAGGUGUAGGAGGUUACAAUUCCUUCUGUGCCGGAGCUAACGCGUUAAGUAUCCCGCCUGGGGAGUACGGUCGCAAGGCUAAAACUCAAAGGAAUUGACGGGGGCCCGCACAAGCAGCGGAGCGUGUGGUUUAAUUCGAUGCAACACGAAGAACCUUACCAGGGCUUGAC